RNAcentral lists this ribosomal RNA (505 nucleotides) under uncultured bacterium. Its description in RNAcentral is "partial 16S ribosomal RNA". It matches the Rfam family "Bacterial small subunit ribosomal RNA", at positions 28 to 507 of the family's 1533-position model. The record is from RNAcentral.
GACGAACGCUGGCGGCGUGCCUAAUACAUGCAAGUAGGACGCACAGUCUAUACCGUAGCUUGCUACACCAUAGGCUGUGAGUUGCGAACGGGUGAGUAACGCGUAGGUAACCUGCCUAUUAGAGGGGGAUAACUAUUGGAAACGAUAGCUAAUACCGCAUAACAGUAUGUAACACAUGUUAGAUGCUUGAAAGAUGCAAUUGCAUCGCUAGUAGAUGGACCUGCGUUGUAUUAGCUAGUAGGUAGGGUAAUGGCCUACCUAGGCGACGAUACAUAGCCGACCUGAGAGGGUGAUCGGCCACACUGGGACUGAGACACGGCCCAGACUCCUACGGGAGGCAGCAGUAGGGAAUCUUCGGCAAUGGGGGGAACCCUGACCGAGCAACGCCGCGUGAGUGAAGAAGGUUUUCGGAUCGUAAAGCUCUGUUGUUAAGGAAGAACGAGUGUGAGAAUGGAAAGUUCGUACUGUGACGGUACUUAACCAGAAAGGGACGGCUAACUACGUG